UGCACCGUGGUGCAGUUGGUAGCAUUGUUGCUUGCAACAAGAAGGUCCUGGGUUCAAUUCCUGGCAGGGGGUCUUUCUGCAU
Molecule: non-coding RNA, 82 nt
Organism: Ataeniobius toweri
Lineage: Eukaryota; Metazoa; Chordata; Actinopteri; Cyprinodontiformes; Goodeidae
Source: the annotation of a GenBank genome assembly